AGCGGCGGACGGGUGAGUAGCGCGUGGGUAACCUGCCUCAUACAGGGGGAUAACAGUUGGAAACGGCUGCUAAUACCGCAUAAGCGCACAGUACCGCAUGGUACGGUGUGAAAAACUCCGGUGGUAUGAGAUGGACCCGCGUCUGAUUAGGUAGUUGGUGGGGUAACGGCCUACCAAGCCGACGAUCAGUAGCCGACCUGAGAGGGUGACCGGCCACAUUGGGACUGAGACACGGCCCAA
RNAcentral lists this ribosomal RNA (240 nucleotides) under uncultured bacterium. RNAcentral's name for it is "partial 16S ribosomal RNA". It matches the Rfam family "Bacterial small subunit ribosomal RNA", at positions 94 to 334 of the family's 1533-position model. The record is from RNAcentral.